AAUGGGCGCAAGCCUGAUCUAGCCAUGCCGCGUGUGUGAUGAAGGCCUUAGGGUCGUAAAGCACUUUCGCCAGGGAUGAUAAUGACAGUACCUGGUAAAGAAACCCCGGCUAACUCCGUGCCAGCAGCCGCGGUAAUACGGAGGGGGUUAGCGUUGUUCGGAAUUACUGGGCGUAAAGCGCACGUAGGCGGAUCAGAAAGUUGGGGGUGAAAUCCCGGGGCUCAACCCCGGAACUGCCUCCAAAACUCCUGGUCUUGAGUUCGGGAGAGGUGAGUGGAAUUCCGAGUGUAGAGGUGAAAUUCGUAGAUAUUCGGAGGAACACCAGUGGCGAAGGCGGCUCACUGGCUCGAUACUGACGCUGAGGUGCGAAAGUGUGGGGAGCAAACAGGAUU
RNAcentral lists this ribosomal RNA (392 nucleotides) under uncultured Gammaproteobacteria bacterium. Its description in RNAcentral is "bacterial SSU rRNA". It matches the Rfam family "Bacterial small subunit ribosomal RNA", at positions 370 to 779 of the family's 1533-position model. Lineage: Bacteria; Pseudomonadati; Pseudomonadota; Gammaproteobacteria. The record is from RNAcentral.